This 612-nucleotide ribosomal RNA is filed under the name Euceros schizophrenus. RNAcentral's name for it is "eukaryotic LSU rRNA". It matches the Rfam family "Eukaryotic large subunit ribosomal RNA", at positions 417 to 780 of the family's 3401-position model. The record is from RNAcentral. Lineage: Eukaryota; Metazoa; Arthropoda; Insecta; Hymenoptera; Ichneumonidae.
AAACCUGAGAAACCCGAAAGAUCGAACGGGGAGAUUCAUCGUCAGCGAUUCUGGCACUUGUGCGGUUCGCGAUACCACUGGGCUUCUGUCUUGUGGCACGCGUCCGUAUGAUUUUUAUUGCCGGUAUCGUCGGCGUGCACUUCUCCCCUGGUAGGACGUCGCGACCCGUUGGGUGUCGGUCUACGGCCCGGGUGGGAGCCUGUCUCGUGUGCGCUUCGCGGCGAUGCGGGUCAGACCCCCGGCUGCCCGACCCUGCUGCCCGGCGGUGUAUUUACGGUAUCUAGUCGCAAGUAUUUAAACUGCGUCCGGCCCGUUGCAAGCGAGGCAAGUGUUUUCCCGGAUGUUCGGAUCUAAUGCCGUCACCGGGCCUUGCCAGCUGUUGGUUGACGGUGUCCUAGGACUGACUAUUGGAUACCGGUCGGCGAUGCUACUGCUUUGGGUACUUUCAGGACCCGUCUUGAAACACGGACCAAGGAGUCUAACAUGUGCGCGAGUCAUUGGGAACUGUAAGCCUAAAGGCGCAAUGAAAGUGAAGAUGGGCCUUGCGCCAAUCGAGGGAGGAUGGGUUGCGUCACAAUGCUUCCUCGCACUCCCGGGGUGUCUCGUUCUCAU